Molecule: ribosomal RNA, 676 nt
Filed under: uncultured bacterium
Lineage: Bacteria
Description: bacterial SSU rRNA
Rfam family: Bacterial small subunit ribosomal RNA
Source: RNAcentral
AGCACUAGUGUCGGCACGUAAGUGUUCGGUGCCGCAGUUAACGCAAUAAGUGCUCCGCCUGGGGGAGUACGUACGCAAGUAUGAAACUCAAAGGAAUUGACGGGGACCCGCACAAGCAGCGGAGCAUGUGGUUUAAUUCGAAGCAACGCGAAGAACCUUACCAGGGCUUGACAUCCCUCUGACCGGCUGGGUAAAACCGGCCUUUCUUCGGACAGAGGUGACAGGUGGUGCAUGGUUGUCGUCAGCUCGUGUCGUGAGAUGUUGGGUUAAGUCCCGCAACGAGCGCAACCCUUGUCUUUAGUUGCCAUCAUUGAGUUGGGCACUCUAGAGAGACUGCCGGGGACAACUCGGAGGAAGGUGGGGAUGACGUCAAAUCAUCAUGCCCCUUAUGUUCUGGGCUACACACGUGCUACAAUGGUCGGUACAAAGAGCAGCGAGACCGCGAGGUGGAGCAAAUCUCAAAAGCCGAUCCCAGUUCGGAUUGCAGGCUGCAACCCGCCUGCAUGAAGUCGGGGUUGCUAGUAAUCGUGGAUCAGAAUGCCACGGUGAAUGCGUUCCCGGGUCUUGUACACACCGCCCGUCACACCAUGGAAGUUGGGGGCGCCCGAAGUUGGACAGAUAAUAGUUUACCUAAGGCGAAAUCAAUGACUGGGGUGAAGUCGUAACAAGGUAGCCG